Molecule: transfer RNA, 87 nt
Filed under: Actinoplanes sp. SE50/110
Lineage: Bacteria; Bacillati; Actinomycetota; Actinomycetes; Micromonosporales; Micromonosporaceae
Also listed under: 1 other name
Description: tRNA-Ser
Rfam family: tRNA
About the family: Transfer RNA (tRNA) molecules are approximately 80 nucleotides in length. Their secondary structure includes four short double-helical elements and three loops (D, anti-codon, and T loops).
Source: RNAcentral
GGAGGAUUCGCCUAGUGGCCUAGGGCGCACGCUUGGAAAGCGUGUUGGGAUAAAACCCUCACGAGUUCGAAUCUCGUAUCCUCCGCC